Tachysurus fulvidraco (yellow catfish) is the source of this 4346-nucleotide long non-coding RNA. RefSeq lists it as uncharacterized. Lineage: Eukaryota; Metazoa; Chordata; Actinopteri; Siluriformes; Bagridae. The record is from RefSeq and is a predicted model, not a curated record. The transcript has 4 exons.
CCAACGUUUUCAGCAAAAAACAGUGUAUACAAUGAGUGUGUCUGUUAGUGAGUGUGUCUGUUAGUGAGUGUGUCUGUGUGUGUGUGUGUGUGUGUGUGUGUGUGUGUGUGUGUGUGUGUGUGUGUGUGUGUGUGUGUGUGUGUGUGUGUGGAUAUUCUAAAGGAAAAAAAUGGGUCGGUCAGAAAUGGGUUUCUCUAUAACAACGGGCCUCAUUCAUAAAAAACAAAAACAUUUGUAGGUGAAUUUUUUUGUAAGCAAUUCUACAAAGUCUAAUUAGUGUUUAUGACAAAAAUUAACAAAAGCAGAAAGAAACAAAUCUAUGAAUUAUAGCCAAUAAAAACAGGAGUUUAAAAUAAGCCUAAAGAAAUGUUGAUGUACAAAACUCAACGUAUUGGUGCAUUUGUUGUUCUGUUUGCCAUUUUAAACAUUUAGUUUUUUUCCAGGUUAUGUAAGUAAAUGAAGUUUUUUACUGAUGUAGACAUAAGUUUAAAAAAUUCCAUUUCUGCCUCUGAGAAAUGUUCUUUCCCCAUGUUCUUCCCUUUUUGUGCAGUUAGCUCCCAUUGUGUGUGUGUGUGUGUGUGUGUGUGUGUGUGUGUGUGUGUGUGUGUGUGUGUGUGUGUGUGUGUGUGUGUGUGUGUGUGUGUGUGUGUGUGACACUAAAUGCAAAUAAUUUGCAAAUUGAGUGUAAAUCUGGCAGAAAUAUUUAGUACACUUCGGCCCAACAAUGCAUUUAUACACAACUUUGCUGUGUAUAAAUUUGGUUCAGAAAUGUGAGAAUGAUGCAGUUUUUAUUUUUAGAGAGAAAAAUUUUUCCUUUAAAUUUGUCUCUUCACAAAUGAAAAUGUCUGCACUUUUUUUAAACAUUGCAGGAAGGAAGAAAUCUACAACAACCUGAAAUCCUAAGAAUAAGGAGAGUCGAAACGGACCAGAAACUUCAUCGUCUCCAGCUAAUUUCUUGUGUUAAAAUAAGGACCAGAUAUUACCAAAAAAUAAUGUAUUAAUGAAUUGUAAUUUAUCUAAGUGAUUUUUUAUAUUUAAAAAUUAGAUCUUUUUUUUAAUCUCAGAUUAAACCAAAGCCUUUUUAUAUGAAAUUCUGUAUUAUUUGAAAAUGUUUCUGUUAUAAUGUAUUGUAUUGGGAGACUUUUAUUUUGUUUUGUUUGUUUGUUUUUACCAUUUGUACGAUUAUAUUGUUUGUUAUUAGUGAACUUGCAGCUAUAUACAAGCAAAAUGGAGGUUUAUAAAAAAAAAACAAAAAAACUUACAUACAUUUAUAUACAUUAUAAACUUUCCAUAGUAAAGACUUGUGUGUUAAGAGUGUUCUAGUAUUCGGACUGGAUUGCCAAGACCACCAUUUUCAUUUUGAAUUGUGCAACAUUUACAUUAGAUUCAAGUGUUUCCUCAAAGACAAUGGGUUCUUUUCUGGAUAAUUAAGGUUUAUUGGUUGACCCAAUUAAGUCAAUAUCACCAAGAGCACUUAAAGACCGGACGCUCUAUUGAAACUGUAAUAGUCACUGGAACUGGAAACUAUUAACAUCAUCUUUCCUUUCUCACUUGUCAUGAUGACAGCUUCUGUAGAAGAUUGUAACUUGAGAGCCUUGCAAGAAGUCACUAUUUCACAGAAAGACAGACAAAUAAUUCAGUUACUUGGCAGAAAAAAAUAAUCGCAUGUACAUUUCUUAUUACAGUGAACACACAGGAUGACAGCAGAUCUCAGCUCUUUUAAUGUCAUUUCAUGUUCACAUAAAGUGUGAAACCGCCCUGAGGCCCAUCUGCAGUUCUUCAGCAGUAAUAGCAGCAGUUUCACACACACUUUUUUUUUUCCGAGCAACUGAUGGUGUGGACUAACCAUCUCUCUCUCUCUCUCUCUCUCUCUCUCUCUCUCUCUCUCUCUCUCUCUCUCUCUCUCUCUCUCUCUCUCUAAUUACUGAAAUAUGCUGAAUCAGCUCGUUUUCUUCCUUAGUUGUGAGUGUAUGUAAUGUAUUGCGAUAUCCCAGCAUCCCCAACUUUACUGUACAUAAGACUUUUGUGAUGUGGUUUGCUUGGAGCUAAACUUUCUCAUGUAACUCCAGUGUAAUUAAUGUGUGUUUGAGGUGUUUUUAGAUCACAUAACACUUCUCUGAGCCCAUUGUAACAGCAGUUAUUCUACUUUAGUUAAGUCUGCCACCAAAAUGAAAAGGGUUGUCUUUAUGACUGUUAACACAUAUUGAAACAAGGGUUUAUAACCACUAGUGUUCCUGGUUUGUCAGUUGUCACGAAGGGCUUCUGUGAGCGUCAUGUAGUGGUAUGAACCACUGAUACCCUUGUCUUCUCAUGAAACAAAGUACUCUAUUUAUUCAAGUAAAUAAGGAAGGAAACAAUUGAAUCUGCUUUCCAUUUCAGCGCAAACAACGUAACAGACGAGAGCUUUCUGGAAGAAAGGGUUUUAUACUGCGCCUAUACACUCAGAGCCAAACAGAACAAUUUUCUGUCUACAUUUCUGACUGAAGGGUGAUGCAGCCAUGCUGAUUAAAAAAAUGCACUUUUCACUAGCGCUAAUUCUCAUGUUUAUGACAGUUUCUUUCAGUGUUCUCUUCAGGAGGUGAAAUGCUGUUCAGGUGGGUUAAAGUCUGGUGAUUGUCUUUUGGGGAUUGUCACUUUACUUUAUCCUCCUGUUAAAGUAAUUUGUUGUGUUUUAAAUCAUUGUGUAAAUCAUUUGCACAACAAGGUUCCUCUCUAUUCAUUUCUCUGCAUUUCUCAGUAAUCUUCAGACAGAAUGCUUCUGUUGAUUUCUGAAGUCAUUCUGCUGCUACCGUCAUGAGUUAGAUCAUCAUUAAAGAUUAGUGAGAAUGUUCCAGAAGCAGCCAUGCAAGCCCGAGCCAUGACACCACCACCAUGUUUCACAGAUGAGCUUUGGAUCAAGAGCAGAUCCUUUCUUUCCUCACACUUUGGCCUUUCAUCUUAGCUUCAGAAAUUUUAUGUGUUUCUUUGUGAAAUCGGUCCUUCUGAUUCUUACUGAUGAUUGGUUUGCAUCUUGUGGCAUGGUCACAAUAUUUCUGCUCUUCUUAUUCUUCCAGUGUUGAAUUGUGACACCUUCAUCCCUGCCCUGUGGAGGUCAUUGGUGAUGUCACUGAUUGUUGUUUCUGGAUUUUUCUUCACAGCUCUCAGUAUUUGUCAUCAGUUGCCUUUGGUUUUUCUUAACUGACCUGUUCGAUCUGUAGUCGUUCGUCUUCAAGUGGUUUCUCUUCAGGACAUUCUUGUAUUGGCUACACCAAAUGUUUGUGCAAUAGCUUUGAUUUCCCCAAUUUUUUUUUCCCCAACUUCAAAAUGUCUCGCUUCUCUCCUAUAGACAGCUCUCUGGUUUCCAUUGUGGUUCAUCAACAAAUACGUCUUCACUAUUGAAACCCUGGGCUCAAUGCAUGAGUAGACAUUCAGAGCAAAUAAUUAUCAGGGAAGUUUGAGGUCCGGUGUGGGUGCAGGUUUUCAUUAUAACCAGACAGAAGGUCCACACCUCGACCUUGAUAGCCGAGAACAACUGAAUAAAUAUGUGGAUUAAAGUGCGACUCCUGCUUAACAGGAACGAAAACCUGCACCCGCACAUGCCCUUUGUGGAUAUAAUUGGACAACCCUCCAAUUCAACCAGUUGUUGUGUUCAAUCCAACAGGUCACAUCUGGGCAGUAAGAGAGCCUUGUCAGUUACAUGUUCAAAUAUAUUUCAUCAAUUGAAAAAUAGGUGUGUUCAAGCAAAAGGUCCAAUGUUCUAAGUUGUUUAAAACAUCUAGAUGUGAAAAUCAGGAAAUGAAAGCUAAAAUUCUGAUCCAUCAGCUCAUCUAUUAAACCCAAACCUAAAUGUCUUUUGUUUAUCACAAAAAUAACUGUAAGACUGUAUGUUACUUUCUGUUUCUGUGUAUAAUGUAAUGUACUUGAUUUCGGUUGAUAUCUGAUAGAUGUUAACAGCUAGUGUAUCCCAGCUGUCUUCUUAUUAAUCUCCCCUAUAAUCUGGUGUCACCCAGUAGAAGAUAAGCCUAGUUUAUUCCUCAUAUAAAAUCUUAUGUAGAUUUAUUUCUCUCGCCUCUGGGGUUUUAAAUUUACAUCCGGAUUUCUGUAAAGCUGCUUUGUGAUGGUGUCUGUUGUUAAAAUUGCACUAAAUUGUUGAGAUAAGUAAUUUUGGAUUAUUAAUAUUUGAUUAUACUGACAGCUUGAGCUGGGAGUGAGCCAAAUUGUUUUACAGGCAAAAGGUGAGCAGAUUCAAUAGUAAACUCACAUAUUCGAUGGAUUUGUCCUGUGUGUGUGUGUGUGUGUGUGUGUGUGUGUGUGUGUGUGUGUGUGUGUGUGUGUGUGUGUGUGUGUGUGUGUGUGUGUGUGUGUGU